RNAcentral lists this ribosomal RNA (253 nucleotides) under uncultured bacterium. RNAcentral describes it as "partial 16S ribosomal RNA". It matches the Rfam family "Bacterial small subunit ribosomal RNA", at positions 524 to 776 of the family's 1533-position model. The record is from RNAcentral.
UACGUAGGGCGCAAGCGUUGUCCGGAUUCACUGGGUGUAAAGGGUGCGCAGGCGGUUCUGCAAGUCAGGCGUGAAAGCCCCGGGCUUAACCUGGGAAUGGCGCUUGAAACUACAGGACUGGAGUAUGGCAGAGGGAGGUGGAAUUCCACGUGUAGCGGUGAAAUGCGUAGAUAUGUGGAGGAACACCGAUGGCGAAGGCAGCCCCCUGGGUUAACACUGACGCUCAUGCACGAAAGCGUGGGGAGCAAACAGG